CAGGAUGAGCGCUAGCUACAGGCUUAACACAUGCAAGUCGAGGGGCAGCAUUGGAGUAGCAAUACUCAGAUGGCGACCGGCGCACGGGUGAGUAACACGUAUCCAACCUGCCGCUUACUCGGGGAUAGCCUUUCGAAAGAAAGAUUAAUACCCGAUGGUAUAAAGAGUUCGCAUGUUCUCUUUAUUAAAGAAUUUCGGUAAGCGAUGGGGAUGCGUUCCAUUAGAUAGUUGGCGGGGUAACGGCCCACCAAGUCUACGAUGGAUAGGGGUUCUGAGAGGAAGGUCCCCCACAUUGGAACUGAGACACGGUCCAAACUCCUACGGGAGGCAGCAGUGAGGAAUAUUGGUCAAUGGACGAGAGUCUGAACCAGCCAAGUAGCGUGAAGGAUGACUGCCCUAUGGGUUGUAAACUUCUUUUAUAAGGGAAUAAAGUGAGGGACGUGUCCCUUUUUGUAUGUACCUUAUGAAUAAGGAUCGGCUAACUCCGUGCCAGCAGCAGC
Molecule: ribosomal RNA, 500 nt
Filed under: uncultured bacterium
Lineage: Bacteria
Description: bacterial SSU rRNA
Rfam family: Bacterial small subunit ribosomal RNA
Source: RNAcentral